AACAAAACUCAGGUUCCCAAAGGGGAAGAUGUAAACAUAAGAGCGCCUUCGAAAUCCCCUGAAAGACGUGAACAGGAACUUGAAGAUACAAUCGCAAGCAUUUACUGUCCAACUUGUCAAGCUCCACUUCAUUACUUGAAAAUCUCUCCUGAUAUUCAUGCUGCCUCCUGUGCAGUUGAUUGGAGCGAUCUUCCAGAAUGUCCAGUAGGCGCAAGCUGUGCUGAUGAUAGCAUUUUUCAUUUCCGUGACUUUGCUCAUGCUGCUCUCGCAGAAUAUCGUAGUACAAAGAAUUUUGUCUCUCCACGUGUCAAGCGUCUAAUUCGAAGUAAAUCUAAAUCUAAGAAAACACCAGCUAGCACCAGAAAAAUAUCUCUGAAUUCUCAGGUAUAUUCAGGGGUAGACCAUGAAGCCAAAGAAAAAGUAAAAAGAAAGUUAGACUUGGGUGAUACAGAUAUCAGCAGUAGCAACCCAAACCUCGCUUCAAACUCUAAUUAUUCAUUUGUAGAAUCCGAGAAAAAUUCCACUCGUAAAUCUUACAGCACAUACUUCAGUCAGGAAAAUGAUGAUGAAGAAGCUCAAGUUGAGACUCCCUGCUUCAUUGACCAGAUGGAAGCAACAAAACCAUGUUCCUCAGUCUCACAGAGUACUCGCCAAAAGAGAAAAAAUCCAGUCAAUGAAAGUUGCAGCAAAGCUGCAGAAGAGCCCAUUCUCAGAAAAGCUAACAGUACAAACAGCUGUAGGAAGAGUUUGAAUCAAGAAAUCAAUGAAUUGAGCGAGAAUGGUCCCAAAUCUAAAAAGAGAAAAUCCUUGCAUACCAACACCUCCUCAGUUGAUUGUGACCAUGCUGAUAAUCUUAAGUCGAAUAUUUCUCAAUCCAAAUCUAUCUUAAAUACUAAGAAAAAAUCUCGUACAGAUAGUGCUCGUUUAUCUAAAUCUAAUGAUGAAGGGAAAAAAUCAAGUACAGAGACUGGAUCUGACAGUGAUAAUUCCUACCGCAAAAUUCCUGGAACUUUAUCGGAUUCUCAGGUCAAAGAUUUCUCAUUGGGCUCAACGACAUACUCUCAACCUUGCUCAACACCAUCAUUGUCUGAAGUUCCUGAUUAUCUUUUAAAUGCUGUUCAUUCAGUCAAAAUUAAAAAGAGAUAAAAGAAGAGCCCAUUGACCCUGAGGAGUUGUUUGUUGGCUCUCAAGAACAUCUUUCUAAGGUGCAAAAUUCAUGUUCUGAUGCUGCUAAAGAAGAAACCAUCUCAGAAUCUUAUCAGUCAAACACAGUACCUGGUGAUUCUUACCAAACUUUGAAUAAAAACUGUGAUACUCCUGAAAAUUUAGAGAGUCUUCAGUCCACUUCUAGUUUCAAAAUAUCGUCCAAGCAGCAAAUAAAGUCUGAAAAUUUGAAGGAGGAUCCACUGACUAUGGACAGUGAUGAAGGAAUCCCGGUGUUAUUUUCGGAUGAAGAGUUCGAACGGUGUUUUGAGAAAUAUGAUCAUGAUCCAGCCAAGAAAACAGAAGACAACUUCAGCAUAGAUGAGUCAUCAAACGAUUCCUCCGUAUCAAGAGAUGCUUCUUUGUCAAAGAAACAAGGUAAGGAAUCAGUUGAUGUCGUAUUAGUUCACUCAAAAUUUUAACGGAGUCUUCGGAAGAUAUUUAUUCUUGUUAAAUAAAAAAAAAAACAAAACAACUGAAGACUCUGAAAUUAUUUUCCAUCUUUUUUGGCGGAAAGAUCCAUCUGUUUCAUGUUUGAAAUUUUCAAAAACUUAUGAAGGUAAGUAUUUUC
RNAcentral lists this long non-coding RNA (1774 nucleotides) under Bemisia tabaci. RNAcentral describes it as "lncRNA ENSSSA1UGG004801". Lineage: Eukaryota; Metazoa; Arthropoda; Insecta; Hemiptera; Aleyrodidae. The record is from RNAcentral.